RNAcentral lists this ribosomal RNA (406 nucleotides) under uncultured bacterium. RNAcentral describes it as "partial 16S ribosomal RNA". It matches the Rfam family "Bacterial small subunit ribosomal RNA", at positions 29 to 526 of the family's 1533-position model. The record is from RNAcentral.
AUUGAACGCUGGCGGCAGGCCUAACACAUGCAAGUCGAACGAGUGGCGGACGGGUGAGUAAUGUCUGGGAAACUGCCCGAUGGAGGGGGAUAACUACUGGAAACGGUAGCUAAUACCGCAUACCAUCGGAUGUGCCCAGAUGGGAUUAGCUAGUAGGGGGGGUAACGGCUCACCUAGGCGAUGAUCCCUCGCUGGUCUGAGAGGAUGACCAGCCACACUGGAACUGGGAAACGGUCCAGCCUCCAACGGAGGGCGGCAGGGGGGAAUAUUGCACAAUGGGCGCAAGCCUGAUGCAGCCAUGCCGCGUGUAUGAAAAAGGCCUUCGGGUUGAAAGGUACUUUCAGCGGGGAGGCGGUACUCGCAGAGAAAGCACCGGCUAACUCCGUGCCAGCAGCCGCGGUAAUUC